AGAGUUUGAUCCUGGCUCAGGACGAACGCUGGCGGCGUGCCUAACACAUGCAAGUCGAGCGAUGAAAUCCCUUCGGGGAUGGAUUAGCGGCGGACGGGUGAGUAACACGUGGGUAACCUGCCUCAAAGAGGGGGAUAGCCUCCCGAAAGGGAGAUUAAUACCGCAUAACAUUAGUUUUUCGCAUGAAGAACUAAUUAAAGGAGCAAUCCGCUUUGAGAUGGACCCGCGGCGCAUUAGCUAGUUGGUGAGGUAAAGGCUCACCAAGGCGACGAUGCGUAGCCGACCUGAGAGGGUGAUCGGCCACAUUGGAACUGAGACACGGUCCAGACUCCUACGGGAGGCAGCAGUGGGGAAUAUUGCACAAUGGGCGAAAGCCUGAUGCAGCAACGCCGCGUGAGUGAAGAAGGCCUUCGGGUCGUAAAGCUCUGUCGUUUGGGACGAACGUGCUGUGUGUGAAUAAUGCGCAGUAAUGACGGUACCAAAGGAGGAAGCCACGGCUAACUACGUGCCAGCAGCCGCGGUAAUACGUAGGUGGCGAGCGUUGUCCGGAAUUAUUGGGCGUAAAGGGCGUGUAGGUGGAUUCUUAAGUCGUGUGUCUAAGUGCGGAGCUCAACUCCGUAUGGGCGCAGGAGACUGGGAAUCUUGAGUGCAGGAGAGGAAAGUGGAAUUCCCAGUGUAGCGGUGAAAUGCGUACAUAUUGGGAGGAACACCAGUGGCGAAGGCGACUUUCUGGACUGUGUCUGACACUGAGGCGCGAAAGCUAGGGGAGCGAACGGGAUUAGAUACCCCGGUAGUCCUAG
RNAcentral lists this ribosomal RNA (800 nucleotides) under uncultured bacterium. RNAcentral's name for it is "bacterial SSU rRNA". It matches the Rfam family "Bacterial small subunit ribosomal RNA", at positions 8 to 799 of the family's 1533-position model. The record is from RNAcentral.